GCUGGGCGCAGUGGCACGUGCCUGUAGUCCCAGCUACUCGGGAGGCUGAGGCUGGAGGAUCACUUGAGCCCAGGAGUUCUGGGCUGUAGUGCGCUAUGCCAAUCAGGUGUCCACACUAAGUUCAGCAUCAAUAUGGUGACCUCCCGGGAGCGGGGGACCACCAGGUUGCCUAAGGAGGGGUGAACCAGCCCAGGUCGGAAAUGGAGCAGGUCAAAACUCCCGUGCUCAUCAGUAGUGGGAUCGCGCCUGUGAAUAGCCACUGCACUCCAGCCUGGGCAACAUAGCAAGACCCUGUCUCU
RNAcentral lists this signal recognition particle RNA (299 nucleotides) under Saimiri boliviensis boliviensis (Bolivian squirrel monkey). RNAcentral's name for it is "Metazoan signal recognition particle RNA (ENSSBOG00000001139.1)". It matches the Rfam family "Metazoan signal recognition particle RNA". Rfam says of the family: The signal recognition particle (SRP) is a universally conserved ribonucleoprotein. It is involved in the co-translational targeting of proteins to membranes. Lineage: Eukaryota; Metazoa; Chordata; Mammalia; Primates; Cebidae. The record is from RNAcentral.